Molecule: long non-coding RNA, 290 nt
Filed under: Homo sapiens (human)
Lineage: Eukaryota; Metazoa; Chordata; Mammalia; Primates; Hominidae
Description: LHRI_LNC1739.1
Source: RNAcentral
CCUUACCCCCAACCCUGUGCUCUCUGAAACAUGUGCUGUAUCCACUCAGGGUUGAAUGGAUUAAGGGCGGUGCAAGUUGUGCUUUGUUAAACAGAUGCUUGAAGGCAGCAUGCUCCUUAAGAGUCAUCACCACUCCCUAAUCGCAAGUACCCAGGGACACAAACACUGCGGAAGGCCGCAGGGUCCUCUGCCUAGGAAAACCAGAGACCUUUGUUCACGUGUUUAUCUGCUGACCUUCCCUCCACUAUUGUCCUCUGACCCUGCCAAAUCCCCCUCUGCGAGAAACACCC